GACGAACGCUGGCGGCGUGCUUAACACAUGCAAGUCGAACGGAGCGAAUGAAAGCUUGCUUUUAUAAGCUUAGUGGCAAACGGGUGAGUAACACGUAGGCAACCUGCCGACAGGAUGGGGACAACAUUCCGAAAGGAAUGCUAAUACCGAAUGAAGCGGAGGAGAGGCAUCUCCCCUCCGUGAAAGAUGGCCUCUUUUUAUGCUAUCACCUGUCGAUGGGCCUGCGUCUGAUUAGCUGGUAGGUGAGGUAACGGCUCACCUAGGCGACGAUCAGUAGCCGGUCUGAGAGGAUGAACGGCCACAUUGGGACUGAGACACGGCCCAGACUCCUACGGGAGGCAGCAGUGGGGAAUCUUCCGCAAUGGGCGCAAGCCUGACGGAGCAACGCCGCGUGAGUGAAGAAGGUCUUCGGAUCGUAAAGCUCUGUUGAUGGGGACGAACGUGCCUAAUGCGAAUAGUUUUAGGCAANGAC
Molecule: ribosomal RNA, 472 nt
Filed under: uncultured bacterium
Lineage: Bacteria
Description: bacterial SSU rRNA
Rfam family: Bacterial small subunit ribosomal RNA
Source: RNAcentral